UGGUGGAGUGAUUUGUCUGGUUAAUUCCGUUAACGAACGAGACCCCUGCCUGCUAAAUAGCUUGUCUAGUGAUUUUUCACUGGUGAGGCUUCUUAGAGGGACGUGCAUUCUAUUAGAUGCAGGAAGAUAGGGGCAAUAACA
This 141-nucleotide ribosomal RNA is filed under the name uncultured eukaryote. RNAcentral describes it as "partial 18S ribosomal RNA". It matches the Rfam family "Eukaryotic small subunit ribosomal RNA", at positions 1299 to 1458 of the family's 1831-position model. The record is from RNAcentral.